CAAAAUCUUAAUUGUAUUAAAUAACAUAUCGAAUAGACAUAAAAAUCACCAAUCCAGUAAACAUAACAAAAAAUCCUUAUAUCAUAAUAUUGUAUCAAAUUGGUACUGGUAAACAUUACAACAAUAACCAUAAUAUUUUUUUAAAAAAAAACAUAAUAUGUUCACAAAUUUGUAUGACAACUCUAACUCCUAGCUUGUGAGCUUCCUCUCAUAGCUUGUGUGGUUGUUGCUGCUCGAUUAGUGUAUAAAUAUUAGUAUAUAAAUUUUAUUUUUAUAUAAAAACCUAAAGAAAAAAAAAUUCACAUGCUCCAAGACCAUUAAAAAACAAAUGCAUAAUAUCUCACCUAGGUAGAAUUCUAACCCAACUAAUUAGAUAUAACAAAAUAAAAUUGAUUCAUUUAUUCCAUGGACAUCUAAAAAUUGAUAAAAAAGAAAUAACAAAAGUAAUUAGCAAGAAAUCUCCCAUAAGCUGGACAAAUUAAGAACUAUGUUCAUCAAACAACCAUAAACCAAAAAAAAAAAUUCUCGUAAUCCUUUAUUUAUAUUCUCGCACAUACAUCACAUAUGCAUCAAACAGGCUAGAAAUAUUUUAUACCACUUUAAAUCUAUUAGAAUUUUUUUCUCAAAUCUCAAAAGCAUAAAUUUUGAAUGAUAAUAAAAAGAAAUAAAGUUAAUUUCGUUAAAAAAAUGAAAAUUAUAGAGAGAAAAAUUAGUUUUAAGAGAAUUGAACCCUGGAUUCCACAAGCAAGAGCAGCAACCAAACGCGGCUUCCUCGAUCGCACGAGCAGCAACCAAACGCGGCUUCCUCGAUCGCACGAGCAGCAGCCAAACGCGAGCAGUUCCAGCAGCCAGACGCGGUCUCGAUCGAUGCACGAGCAGAAGUUCCAGCAGCUUCCUCGAUCGCGAGCAGUUCCGGCAACCAGACGCGGUCUCGAUCGACGCACGAGCAGAAGUUCCAGCAGCUUCCUCGAUCGCGAGCAGUUCCAGCAGCUUCCGGCAGCGCGAGCAGUUCCAGCACCUUUCGGCAGCGCGAGCAGUUCCGGCAACUUCCGGCAGCGUGAGCAGUUUCCGGCAAACCGUGUGAGUGUGUGUCUGUUAAAGGAUUUGUCUAAGAUCUGGGAGCAGUGUGUAUGUGUGGCUUGUUCGUGUGUGUUAAGGGUAUGUGUGUGUUUUGUUCGUGUGUGUUAAGUGUGCGUGUGUUCUGUUUGUGCGUCUUAAGUGUGCGUGGGUUUUUGGUCAAUUCAUUUGCUAUUAAUCUGCAAUUACGAUAUUAAUCUUUUAAUGAUUUAACGAAACGAUUUUCAUUAAUAAAUAAGAGUUUAAAUAUUUUUUUUAAAUAUUAAAGAUUUUAUGUUUCUUGUCUAAACGUCGAGGGUAUUGUGUCAUUUUCCCUUAAAAGUUAAAACAAUAACAAUGAUAUGGUAAAGAAGAAUGGUAAGCGCGAGCCGCUGAAUUCGAGCCAUUUGGAAGGAAAAAUUUUCAGGUAAAAAACAAUGGUCGACCGGAGUUGGUAAAUCAAAUCGUGUUGCUUUUUCCCAUUGGUUUUUCAAGAAUUUUCGGC
Molecule: long non-coding RNA, 1561 nt
Filed under: Citrus maxima (pomelo)
Lineage: Eukaryota; Viridiplantae; Streptophyta; Magnoliopsida; Sapindales; Rutaceae
Description: long non-coding RNA (CMAX_LNC002461)
Source: RNAcentral